This 115-nucleotide ribosomal RNA is filed under the name Henosepilachna vigintioctopunctata. RNAcentral's name for it is "partial 16S ribosomal RNA". Lineage: Eukaryota; Metazoa; Arthropoda; Insecta; Coleoptera; Coccinellidae. The record is from RNAcentral.
AAAAUUUCAAAGGUCGAACAGACCUAAUAUUUUAGCUUCUACACCAAAAAUAAAUUUUAAUCCAACAUCGAGGUCGCAAACCUUUUUUUCAAUAAGAACUAUUAAAAAGAUUACG